RNAcentral lists this transfer RNA (62 nucleotides) under Mitjaevia shibingensis. RNAcentral's name for it is "tRNA-Tyr". Lineage: Eukaryota; Metazoa; Arthropoda; Insecta; Hemiptera; Cicadellidae. The record is from RNAcentral.
GUCAAGGUGUCUGAUUUAAGUGAUAAACUGUAAAUUUAUUUAAAGGUUUAACCUUCUUGACA